Zonotrichia albicollis (white-throated sparrow) is the source of this 454-nucleotide non-coding RNA. The record is from RefSeq and is a predicted model, not a curated record. Lineage: Eukaryota; Metazoa; Chordata; Aves; Passeriformes; Passerellidae.
AAAUAGUUGUAAUACCUAUGGGAGAACAACCGUUUUGUGUUUGUUCUGAUUGAUUCCAGGAUCUGCAUUUAAACAUAAUUUUAAUUCUCUGGGUUUUAUCAGAUGCUCUAAUUGUAAUUAUUCUGAGUUCUUUGAAGAGUAAAACAAGCCCAGUGAAGACAACUACAAGAAUGGAAUGUGCUGCACUCGAGAACUUCAUUUCUGUGACAGAGGCUGCUCCCAUCUCAGAAACCCACACGAUCCAUGGCCAAGGGUGUGUGUUGAGGAAGAAAUCUGUGUAAUGCAUGGCUGAAGACAAUGAGUUUAUUUUGCAGCUCCAUCCUGGAGCCUGGAGGAGGAUCACCUCUGCUGGGAAAAUUUCUUUCUUUGGCAGAGAGAUGUGCAGAGACAGUGGGAAUCUGCCAUGUUGGUGUCCCAGGGAGAAAAUCAGCUGCUACUGGAAGUUCAAUAACAG